CGCUUUCCCCUGCUUUUUAUGGAGCCCAUCUUGAUGUAUCAUUUACACAGGGAAAAAAAACCUCACGUAAAGACACGAGAUGUUUUGUUUUAUAGGACCGGUUGCACCUUGGAGCGGCCGCGCGCUCUGUUUGGGGUUUGUCUUGGAAGCAGAUAUUUAAAUGGCCGCUCUAUUUACAAACGGUUGUCCGGGCCUAUUUAUCCCAAUGUCUGCUUAUGUUAUUUAAGAUGUAGAAAUAUUUCAUUCCGAGCUGCUCUAUCCUAAGUUUACACUGAAACUAAUAAUGGCUUUGAUAUAAUGUUUAGGCUAAGAAGCUUAAAAGGGAACAAUGGCUCGAUCCUAAUGACCCAGAUAAACCCUUAACUGGUCACUUACAUGUGUGAUGUGCAAAUUCUGCGGGUCUAUUUACGUGUCGCUUGAUUAUGAUGAAUCCGAGAUAUUAACAGUUAUAUGAAUAUCUAUAGCUUCUUUGGUACCUGUCUAUUUUCUCGCCCUGCAAAAACCCUGAAACCCUUUUAACUGACCUCUGCCUCUCGCAGCAAUAACUCACGACAGUAAUGAACAAUCGGCGGAAAUACCUCAAAAUAAAAUCCAUCCUCCCAAAGCUCACGCUCUGACUCUGUCCGCGUGGAAAAACAUAUCCGUCCGUGACAGCAGUAUAAUACAUCCACAAACCCGGGAUCCUCUCUCUUUCAGUCUGCCUCUCUUUUUCUCCCCCUCGAUAAACAAAACUACAAAGCCCGGACUCCCCUCACGGAAAGUGGGGGUAACCCGCAUAUAAUCAGCAUCAUAUGGCCAGACCGGGGCUCCGGUUUUCUUCCCCGUGCCAUAACAUCGCGCAGUAUUAUGCGCCCCGCUCACGUGACGCAACGUCAACUUAAAUCCCUUUUAUUUGAGCCCGUGAAUCAUUAAUGGAGGCAGUCAUUGCCCCUGAGGAGAAACGGAUCAGUUUGGAGGGAGAAAAAAGAGGGCUAUGUGACACUGCAAUGUAUCUGGCAGAGGAGCAAGUCUCUCGCAGAGAAGCAGCUUUUCCACGUGUCGCCCAUUCAGAGGGAAAGACUGUUCUGUCAGUUUUAAAGUGCCAUAUAUUUGGUGCCUGUUAGCGGCUGAAAGACCUAAUCCUGCUGUAUUGUGCUGACUUUCAAGUGCGGCUCCAGCACUGAGCCAAGAUUAAACCAGAAUGUUUUGCACUGUGUGAGAUGGAGAGGGUCCCCCCGACAAAAUACCAAAUUACGGUUGGCAUAAUGAUUACACAUCACCCCGGAAAACCUCUUCUCCUUUCUCUUUCACAGCAAAGCCAGGGCUGCAGAGAGCUUUACUCAAUAUCGCCCCCCAGUCCUCAGUCCCACAGCUUGGCUGUAGUACCACUUAGUCAGCCUCUGGUUCUCCAUCAGCAAAAGCCGGCAUGCUGUUGGCCAAAUUGAGAGAAAAAAGUCACACAAUUACCUGUCCUACAAAGGGAGGGUGUGCGUCCUGGUGGUCGUGAGGGGUGCGUGUCAGUCAGCAGUGAGCGGAAAGUGGAGGUGAGGUAACCAAAGAGUGGCUGCUCGACCCCGCUGAUCACUACAUGGACCCCCAUUCGACCUACAUGUGCUUACGCGUUUCCUAUGACCAGCGACCAGCUGAGUGAAAUUACAGAUGUGGAGCUGUCACCAGGAUGAUAGGGCUCGACAUGACCGUGCACCACGUAGCCUGUCGCCACCGCACCUGAACUCUUCCUUGACCCGGGCAGAGGCGCAGAGAGUCGAGUGGGAAGUUAUUUUGGAAACCAAAGGCCCUCAGCUGGUAGCCUACUUUUUUCACUUUUUGUUGCACUUUUUUUCCACUUAUCCUUUGCUCAAAAGUAGUAGUUGAUUGAUUAUGUUUCAAAUCUCAACCGUUUUAGCAUAAAACAAACGUUUCAGAGUUAUUUACACAAAUCAGGGCUCCUCGUCGCUGUCAGCGAGGACGAGUUCGAGGCGCAGACCUCUGGAUGUUGGCCAGACGGCGCUCCAUAUCUUCCCACAAUGUUGACACUCGGAGCUCUUAACAGCCAGGCUUGGGUUACCGAUACACCCUGUCGAAGAUAACUCUUUCUGCGAGGUUUACACCGGCCAACAUCAAGGCUAAUGCGAAAUUCAACGCUCAAGAUGACUUGGAGCCAUGCCUCAUGGAUGCAGACGGACUAGGAGAGCCUAAUUGUUUGCGUGAAGGUGGUUGUAAUAAAGCUAUUUGAAUUUUCAUGUUGAA
Molecule: long non-coding RNA, 2229 nt
Organism: Chelmon rostratus (copperband butterflyfish)
Lineage: Eukaryota; Metazoa; Chordata; Actinopteri; Chaetodontiformes; Chaetodontidae
Exons: 2
Source: RefSeq, a predicted model, not a curated record